RNAcentral lists this transfer RNA (71 nucleotides) under Myxococcales bacterium. RNAcentral describes it as "tRNA-Trp". Lineage: Bacteria; Pseudomonadati; Myxococcota; Myxococcia; Myxococcales. The record is from RNAcentral.
ACGUCGGGCGCUGGGCGCAGGUUGGACUCCAAAUCCGACCGCGGGGGGUUCGAUUCCUCCACGGCGUGCCA